RNAcentral lists this ribosomal RNA (407 nucleotides) under uncultured bacterium. RNAcentral's name for it is "partial 16S ribosomal RNA". It matches the Rfam family "Bacterial small subunit ribosomal RNA", at positions 28 to 526 of the family's 1533-position model. The record is from RNAcentral.
GACGAACGCUGGCGGCGUGCUUAACACAUGCAAGUAGAACGCAGUUGCGAACGGGUGAGUAACGCGUAGGUAACUGCCUCAUAGCGGGGGAUAACUAUUGGAAACGAUAGCUAAUACCGCAUACUGUGAGAUGGACCUGCGUUGUAUUAGCUAGUUGGUGAGGUAAAGGCUCACCAAGGCGACGAUACAUAGCCGACCUGGGAGGGAGAUCGGCCAAACCUGGACUGGGACACGGCCCAAGAUCCUGCGGGGAGCAACAGUAGGGGAUCUUCGGAAAUGGACGGAAGUCUGACCGAGCAACGCCGCGUGAGUUGAGGAGGUUUUCGGGUCGUAAAGCUAUGUUGUUAGAGAAACGGUAACUAACCAGAAAGGGACGGCUAACUACGUGCCAGCAGCCGCGGUAAUUC